UACGUAGGGGGCUAGCGUUGUCCGGAAUCAUUGGGCGUAAAGAGCGUGUAGGCGGUCCGGUAAGUCCGCUGUGAAAGUCGGGGGCUCAACCUCGAAUGCCGGUGGAUACUGUCGGGCUAGAGUGCGGAAGAGGCGAGUGGAAUUCCUGGUGUAGCGGUGAAAUGCGCAGAUAUCAGGAGGAACACCAAUGGCGAAGGCAGCUCGCUGGGACGGUACUGACGCUGAGACGCGAAAGCGUGGGGAGCAAACAGG
Molecule: ribosomal RNA, 252 nt
Filed under: uncultured bacterium
Lineage: Bacteria
Description: partial 16S ribosomal RNA
Rfam family: Bacterial small subunit ribosomal RNA
Source: RNAcentral